RNAcentral lists this ribosomal RNA (253 nucleotides) under uncultured bacterium. RNAcentral describes it as "partial 16S ribosomal RNA". It matches the Rfam family "Bacterial small subunit ribosomal RNA", at positions 524 to 776 of the family's 1533-position model. The record is from RNAcentral.
UACAGGGGGUGCAAACGUUGCUCGGAAUUACUGGGCGUAAAGGGCUCGUAGGUGGCCAACUAAGUCAGACGUGAAAUCCCUCGGCUUAACCGGGGAACUGCGUCUGAUACUGGAUGGCUUGAGUUCGGGAGAGGGAUGCGGAAUUCCAGGUGUAGCGGUGAAAUGCGUAGAUAUCUGGAGGAACACCGGUGGCGAAGGCGGCAUCCUGGACCGGCACUGACACUGAGGAGCGAAAGCCAGGGGAGCAAACGGG